CAGUCGCCACGGUAAUACGGAGGGUGCAAGCGUUGUCCGGAUUUAUUGGGUUUAAAGGGUGCGUAGGCGGCCUAAUAAGUCAGUGGUGAAAGCCUCCAGCUUAACUGGAGAACUGCCAUUGAUACUGUUAGGCUUGAGUAUACUUGAGGUAGGCGGAAUUGACAGUGUAGCGGUGAAAUGCAUAGAUAUUGUCAAGAACACCAACUGCGAAGGCAGCUUACUAAAUUAUAACUGACGCUGAGGCACGAAAGUGUGGGUAUCAAACAGGAUUAGAUACCCCCGUAGUCCCUGUCUCUUAUAC
RNAcentral lists this ribosomal RNA (301 nucleotides) under uncultured bacterium. Its description in RNAcentral is "partial 16S ribosomal RNA". It matches the Rfam family "Bacterial small subunit ribosomal RNA", at positions 509 to 807 of the family's 1533-position model. The record is from RNAcentral.